UGGGGAAUCUUGCGCAAUGGGCGAAAGCCUGACGCAGCCAUGCCGCGUGAAUGAUGAAGGUCUUAGGAUUGUAAAAUUCUUUCACCGGGGAAGAUAAUGACGGUACCCGGAGAAGAAGCCCCGGCUAACUUCGUGCCAGCAGCCGCGGUAAUACGAAGGGGGCUAGCGUUGCUCGGAAUUACUGGGCGUAAAGGGCGCGUAGGCGGACAGUUUAGUCAGAGGUGAAAGCCCAGGGCUCAACCUUGGAAUUGCCUUUGAUACUGGCUGUCUUGAGUUCGGGAGAGGUGAGUGGAAUGCCGAGUGUAGAGGUGAAAUUCGUAGAUAUUCGGCGGAACACCAGUGGCGAAGGCGACUCACUGGCCCGAUACUGACGCUGAGGCGCGAAAGCGUGGGGAGCAAACAGGAUUAGAUACCCCCGUAGUCC
RNAcentral lists this ribosomal RNA (424 nucleotides) under uncultured bacterium. Its description in RNAcentral is "bacterial SSU rRNA". It matches the Rfam family "Bacterial small subunit ribosomal RNA", at positions 355 to 796 of the family's 1533-position model. The record is from RNAcentral.